Molecule: ribosomal RNA, 465 nt
Filed under: uncultured bacterium
Lineage: Bacteria
Description: partial 16S ribosomal RNA
Rfam family: Bacterial small subunit ribosomal RNA
Source: RNAcentral
CCUACGGGGGGCAGCAGUGGGGAAUAUUGCGCAAUGGGCGAAAGCCUGACGCAGCGACGCCGCGUGAGGGAUGAAGGUCUUCGGAUCGUACACCUCUGUCAGCAGGGAAGAACGGUCACUGUGCUAAUCAGCAGUGAAUUGACGGUACCUGCAAAGGAAGCACCGGCUAACUCCGUGCCAGCAGCCUCGGUAAUACGGAGGGUGCGAGCGUUAAUCGGAAUUACUGGGCGUAAAGCGCUCGUAGGCGGUCUGUCAAGUCAAGGGUGAAAUCCCCGCGCGCAACGUGGGAACUGCCUUUGAAACUGGCAAACUGGAGUGUGUGAGAGGAUAGUGGAAUUUCAGGUGUAGGAGUGAAAUCCGUAGAUAUCUGGAGGAACAUCAGUGGCGAAGGCGACUAUCUGGCACAUAACUGACGCUGAGGAGUGAAAGCGUGGGUAGCAAACAGGAUUAGAUACCCCUGUAGUC